UACGUAGGGUGCGAGCGUUAAUCGGAAUUACUGGGCGUAAAGCGUGCGCAGGCGGCGCGUUAAGACAGGUGUGAAAGCCCCGAGCUUAACUUGGGAAUUGCGCUUGUGACUGGCGUGCUGGAGUGUGGCAGAGGGAGGUGGAAUUCCCUGUGUAGCGGUGAAAUGCGUAGAGAUGGGGGAGAACACUCGUGGCGAAGGCGGCCAGCUAGACCAGUUCUGACACUGAGGCGCGACAGCGUGGGGAGCAAACAGG
RNAcentral lists this ribosomal RNA (253 nucleotides) under uncultured bacterium. Its description in RNAcentral is "partial 16S ribosomal RNA". It matches the Rfam family "Bacterial small subunit ribosomal RNA", at positions 524 to 776 of the family's 1533-position model. The record is from RNAcentral.